RNAcentral lists this long non-coding RNA (790 nucleotides) under Sinocyclocheilus anshuiensis. RNAcentral's name for it is "lncRNA (ENSSANG00000046516.1)". The record is from RNAcentral. Lineage: Eukaryota; Metazoa; Chordata; Actinopteri; Cypriniformes; Cyprinidae.
UUGACAAUUAGUCUGGCGCUUUGUCAGUUUAUGGCUUGUAAAUGAGAGUCAUUAUGGCGGAAUGCUCUCUAAUAUCCUCAUGCUGUCUGAACUCUGCAGCCUAAAGGGUGGCCAACAUUGACUUCCUGGGCAUCAAUACCCACUGAUCCUAUUGAAAGCGCAAGGCUGAGGCUCUUUAUAUGCCAGGCACCUGCAGCCACACAACCAUAAAAUUGGUAUAUUUAAGAGGCAGAUUAAAAGUUGAUAUUCUGACUUUUAAAAUGCCACAAAUUCACUGGCCUCCUAAUCCCCCUCUUGUUAUGUGUGACAUUUCAUUAUUUGGUAUCCUGAUGGUUUCCUCGGCCUCUGAUUCAGAAUGCGCAGAGCAGGGGUCAGAGCAGAGGAUACUGGUCUCUCAAAGGCUCCAGGACAAACUAACUUUUCCUGGCGUCCUUCCACUACAGCUUUUUGAUGCCACUGUAUUUGAAACGGAUGCUGCGAUCGAUGCCCAAAGCAUUUGAAUUCUGCAUCAGCAGCUAUCUGUCAUGCUGUAAUAAAUGCACUGUUGAUAUUCUUCAGUUUGAUACUUUUCUCUAUGCGUUAGUCCUUUAGAGGCACAGAUAACUGAUUGCUUUUUUGGUUAUCAUUUUAAGUGCCUCAAACUUGAAUUACUUUCAGAUCUGAUGGCAUGAAGCUUGCAAAUGCAUUAAAAAUCAAAGACUAGAUCUUCUGAAGUGUUGUUCUAGCAGCCUGGGAAUAUGUAAACAGUAUGUUAUAUGUUUAUCAGUUGGACUGAUAAAAACCAAUGCAC